Non-coding RNA from Pelobates cultripes (western spadefoot toad), 307 nucleotides. NCBI's taxonomy places the organism in Eukaryota, Metazoa, Chordata, Amphibia, Anura, Pelobatidae. The record is from the annotation of a GenBank genome assembly.
AUCAAGGUUUUUUUUUUUUUUUUAGCCUUCGCAAUAUUUCUGCUGGACAGUAAGAGUUUUAUGGUUGUGAAGUUUUGUGGCGCACACUCAAAACUUCCUUAAAGCGCCACUGUCAUGGCUGCAUGCUUUUUUUAACCCCUCUCCCAACUAAUAGCCACCCUGGUCGUACCCAAAUCCCCUUAAGCACCCCAUAUUACCUAUAUUUAAAGCUUAUUUUGUGCCAGGACCUAGGUUGUGGGCGCCGCCAUCUUUGUGUGGGUAGAUGAAGUCCCUGUGGGACAUGUCAUCUGCCCACACUAGAUCGCAC